UGACCUCAAAUCAGGUAGGAUUACCCGCUGAACUUAAGCA
Molecule: ribosomal RNA, 40 nt
Filed under: uncultured cf. Cortinarius sp.
Lineage: Eukaryota; Fungi; Basidiomycota; Agaricomycetes; Agaricales; Cortinariaceae
Description: partial 28S ribosomal RNA
Source: RNAcentral